Syngnathus acus (greater pipefish) is the source of this 809-nucleotide long non-coding RNA. RefSeq lists it as uncharacterized. Lineage: Eukaryota; Metazoa; Chordata; Actinopteri; Syngnathiformes; Syngnathidae. The record is from RefSeq and is a predicted model, not a curated record. The transcript has 2 exons.
UUGUCUUGUAAGUCGUAAAAUGUUGCACUGUCGCAAACGUGACAGAAGUAACAAUGAGAGCGCCACUGCCGCCUACUGUAGUAAAUGCGCAAUUACACUUUAUUCUAGUACUGCCAAAAAAAAAAAAAAAUUAAAAAAAAAAAAUGCCUGUUCCCCAGGGUCACACGCGCCCCCCCAGGUAUUGCACCGCGCCCCCCAAGGGGGGCGCGCCCCACUAUUUGAGAAGCACUGCACAAGACGAAGAUUUCGAUGGAUUUAAUGAUUUGGAGUGACACAGAUGGUUCGAUAAACUAUGUUAUAGUUACUUGAUAUAUAGUUUAUUUAGUGUAGCAACUUGUAUAUUGUUAGAGUUCAGUAGUUUCCGAUUGCUUAAGGAGGCCGUGAAGGCAGCAGGGGGGAGGAGACUGGAAGAGCGAUCCGGGGCGCUUUGUGAGAGUGAGGCUACACACACUGUGCUCGUAUGUUGUUGAACUCUUGUUUUGUGAAAUAAAGAGCCGGUUGCUUUCCUUUUUUUUUUAAUUCAUUUAUUUUUUAGUCAUUGUCUCUUGCUAGUAGUGGGGGGGAGGGGAUGAACAAAUGAAACUGUACAUUUGCAUGCUGCAUGAUUUCAGAGUUCAGCUGUGAAAAGCAAGAUCACCUCGGCCUGUCGGUCUGAAGGCAGAACACACAUUAGGACAGGACAGGCAAGGACUGGGGGAGUAGAACUGACAUUGACUCCCCCCCCACCCCCCAAAAAAAAAAAACGCCAUUCAAACUUGGCCACCCACCUCCAUUGAACACAGAAAUGUUGUGCAAAUUCACCACAAUCA